This 430-nucleotide ribosomal RNA is filed under the name uncultured bacterium. Its description in RNAcentral is "partial 16S ribosomal RNA". It matches the Rfam family "Bacterial small subunit ribosomal RNA", at positions 29 to 507 of the family's 1533-position model. The record is from RNAcentral.
ACGAACGCUGGCGGCAGGCCUAACACAUGCAAGUCGAGCGCCCUUUCGGGGGAGCGGCGGACGGGUGAGUAACGCGUGGGAAUAUGCCCUUCUCUACGGAAUAGCCUCGGGAAACUGAGAGUAAUACCGUAUACGCCCUUUGGGGGAAAGAUUUAUCGGGGAAGGAUUAGCCCGCGUUGGAUUAGGUAGUUGGUGGGGUAAUGGCCUACCAAGCCGACGAUCCAUAGCUGGUUUGAGAGGAUGAUCAGCCACACUGGGACUGAGACACGGCCCAGACUCCACGGGGAGGGAGCAAUGGCGAGUGUGGGACAAUGGGGUAAGCGAUGAUCUACUCUUGCCGCGUGGGUGAAGAAGGCCGUAAGGUCAGAAGGCUCUUCGAGCAGGGACGAGAAUGAAGGGACCAGAAGAAGAGGCCCGGGCUAACGCCGUG